AGCCGAAACACCCUGAUUCGUCAGGGUGUCGCGAGGGGAUGACCUUCCUCGCCUGAUGAUGGCAGGUCAGG
RNAcentral lists this non-coding RNA (71 nucleotides) under Brevibacillus brevis. RNAcentral also lists the same sequence under 1 other name. Lineage: Bacteria; Bacillati; Bacillota; Bacilli; Caryophanales; Paenibacillaceae. The record is from RNAcentral.